AGGAACUCGGCGUGCUCUCAAAAGCGCUUUUACGCACGCUCAUUGAGAUCGUCCAUCGA
Molecule: small RNA, 59 nt
Filed under: Sinorhizobium meliloti 2011
Lineage: Bacteria; Pseudomonadati; Pseudomonadota; Alphaproteobacteria; Hyphomicrobiales; Rhizobiaceae
Description: putative ncRNA
Source: RNAcentral